GAUUCCGCCACGCAAACAGGGGUCAUUAACAUGGGUUGUUCCGGGCUGACGUGGCAACCAUUUAAAAAAAAAAAAAACCAAAACCAUCAAUUGAAGACGCAUUCCAUUUCAAUUUCUCCCAAAUCAAACACCACACACUCCAUCUUCUCCCAAAUUGAAACCCGCACCGACGAAAACCCUCCCCAUGCCUUACCAUCUUCGACCGCACGUCACUCAAAGGUAACGCCGCCGCUUCAGCAGCAAUUCCUUCGAAGAUUGUCCCGCCUCAUAGUUCACCAUCUCUGUCCAAGGUUUGUUUGUGCAACAAGAAACGUUAAUCGAAGUUGUAAUACAUUAAAAAAAAAAAAAAACACCAAAUUUAUGUUUCGACUUUAAUUUUUUUUUUUAAUUCAUAAAUAGAACUAUGAAUAUCUAUGUGAAGAAUUCCAGGAUAUAUUAUAUUAUUAUUCUAUGUUGUGUACAAUGAACACGGUAAUUACUAUAGUUUUAAGAGUUCAAACGUAAGGAUUACAAUGCAGUAUAUUCUAGUCCAUUUGAUAAUUCGUCUAAUAAGUAUGAUGGUUUUUCUGCAUUCUUCAGUCCGCAAAAUUUAGAGAGAACAAUGUAAAAUUAUGCAGCAACUAUUCAUUGAAAUUCUGACGCCAUUUUCAUACAUUGUAAAGUUUGCUUUCAUAAUCUUCAAAUCCAAGAACAAUGUAAUAGACAAAAGUAGUCCAAGAACAGCCUAUUGGACGGUAUUGGAUAUUAUCAACCUUGUAUGGUGUACAAAAAAUGAGUUUAAGAUAGUGGGAUUAAUGAGACACUGACUAGAUUUGGAAAAUGUUUUAUUGUAUACACAUCUCUUUAAGUUCAUCAAUAUCGAAUUCACGCAUUUCCAUUAGCUUCUCAAGUAUUAGUCUUGUUUAUGUAUUCUUGACUAUUGGUUUGGUUGCUUGAAUUGUUACAAUGAAUUUGCAAGGCAAAAGGGAGCACGGAAAGGAAUGCUAAAGGGAAGGAGUCGGCCUAAUUAGUACAUAUUAAUCGAAGGACUAGUUACUACAUAAACUUUUGUAUAUGUGGUAUUAUUAUGUGCGAAUGUAUGUGAACUAUGGUUGUAAACAUAUGUGAAUCUAUAAUGUGUUGGAAGUUGCACUCUUGUUUGUAACGUCGAUUUUUACUUGUAAUGAACUGAUGGGUUUAUGUACCUUUUUCCAGUUGGAAGCUAAACUCCCAACCCGUGUUAAAUACAUGCUCACAAUUUUUGGGCUGGUACUAUUCCAAGGUCUUCAAUGUAGAUUUAAAUUUCCCCUCAGGAUGUCCAGGAACAGUAGGAAGUUCAGUAUCUUCGAGUGUCAAAUGUUUAUAAAGCUGUGUUCAGUUAAUAAACACAAAGUUUGGUCCACCGUCAGUUACAGAAAAAGGAAAAGAACCUUAACAAUUACUAUUGUUUAGAGCACCAUAAAAUUGAAAUCCCAAAUAAUGGAGAAUUACUUUGGACAAGAAUCAAAAUUUCACAAUGAACGAUUACAAGGUAAAAUUAAACUCACCACCUACUUCUGUAUAUAAAAGAACCAAAGGGGGCGAUAGUGGACGAAGAAACUCAUUUAUAA
Molecule: long non-coding RNA, 1589 nt
Filed under: Olea europaea subsp. europaea
Lineage: Eukaryota; Viridiplantae; Streptophyta; Magnoliopsida; Lamiales; Oleaceae
Source: RNAcentral